Molecule: long non-coding RNA, 1695 nt
Organism: Piliocolobus tephrosceles (Ugandan red Colobus)
Lineage: Eukaryota; Metazoa; Chordata; Mammalia; Primates; Cercopithecidae
Source: Ensembl
AUGGAUAAAGAUGAAAUUGAACAUAUGAGUGACAAAGAAAUUCAAAAUUUUUUCAACGAAAUAGAAGAUUUAGUGAAUGAAAGACAAGACGAUAAAGAUGAUGGUGAUGGUGGUGAUGGUGAUGUUUAUAAUGUAGGAGUAGAAAAACAGCUUAGCAAAAAAGGUGAUGAAUUAAUUGAAAAAAAAAAAAACGACAAUAAAUUGUCAGUACAAUCUAAAAUCCAUUUAUUCCUUGAAGAAAUAAAUUUUAUUAAAGAAGUUCUUGAUACAUAUGAAAAAGAAAAUAAACAUAAUAAAAAUAAUAAUGACAAAUGUAAAAAUAAUGAAAUGACAGAAAAAUCAGAUGACAUUUUAAAGGAUGUAAUUUACUUAGAAUUAGGUCUAAAAGAAUCAGAAAGUACAAGCGAUGUUAACAAAUUACUAUUAAAAAUAAGUGAGAAUUUAUGCAGUAUAAAGAAUAAGGAUUUUAUAAUAGCUACCAAAAAAUCGCUAGAUAUCAGAAUAGAAGAUUUUCGAAGAAAUGAAAUAAGUGAAUCAUACUUUUUAAAAAAAAUAAACGAAAUAUAUACGAACACAUUGAAUGAAUUAGAUAUAGAAAAAAAUGCAGACGAUAAGAAGUCUAACGAAUAUGUAGUAGAUAAAUCGAAAAGUACAUUGUUGGAUGAUUUAUCGCAGAAUAUGUUAAAUGUGCCAUUACCAGUAAAGGACACAGUGGAUACAAAUUAUAAUGAACCACCUGUUUAUUUAAUAUCCAAAAAUAUAAGUACGGAAGGAGAAAGUAAAAGAAGUGAUAAAUACCCAGAGAAAAAAAAAAAAAAAAAAAAUAGGAUGGAGCCAAAACUAGAGUCGUCUAACUUCCUUCAUAAAAAAAAGUUGAAGUUAGUAGAACGAUGGAAAAAAGUUGCCGCAGAAACGAAUUUAGUUGAAGAUUCUGAUUAAAAAUGUCAAAUUUAUAUUAUAAAAUGUGUUUAGAGUAUUACAUCACAAAUUUUUUUAGUAUUAUUUGAUGUUGUAUAUGGGAGUAACCGUUUGUUCAACAUAUUUGCGCAGUUUUUUAUACAUAUACAUGCACGUACAUGUAUACAUAUAAUAUAUAUAUAUAUAGUAAACAAAAUUGCAACAUGAAGUUGUUUAAAUGUUAUAAACUUAUUUAUAUAUAUAUAUAUAUAUAUAUUUAUGCUUAUAUUUAUAACAGAACUUCGUAUUUAUUUUAUUUGAAAUAAUAUGUAUCUCAGUUUACACAAUUUUCUUAAAAAAAAAAAUAUAUAUAUAUAUAAUAUAUAUAUAUAUAUUUUUUUUCUAUUUUAAAGAUAUAACAUUUCGUAUACAUUUUUUUGUAAAUAGUUUAUUGUCACAUUUUUAAUUUUUUUUUUUUUUUUUUUUUUUUGUAUAUAUGUGUAUUUUUUUUUUUUUUUUUUUCAUUCUUUUUUUAUUUUAAGCUAUGAAAAUUUGACAUAAAUACAUGUGCUUAUUACUUAUUAACAUAUAUGUAAUUUAUUUUCUUGUUUUUACAUUAUUUCAUAUACAUAUGUGUUUUUUUAUUUUUUUAUAACAUUAUCAAGCAUAAAACUUUAUUCAAGCACAAGUGUCAACUAUGGAUAUAUGUAAUAUGUUUGGCCUCCAACUGUUUUAUAAAUGAUUUAUUACAUAUUACCCUCAUUAAUUCGUUAAUUAUUAUUAUAAUUAUUAUUAUAA